AACGCAAAUGGCACUCUAUGGUAUUCCGUAGAGUACGUCUGUUUGAGCGUCGCGAACAUCUCCAUAAUUAGUUUUUUUAAAUUGAUUGUGGGUUUUGAGGUUGUCAUAUAACAAUGACUCCCUUUAAAAUAAUUAGUGAUGACCUUAUGAAUGGGUUAAUACUGUGUGUUAUAAUGGAUUACAUCCAUCACCAGUCAGAGAUUAAUCUCGCCUUAGUAAUUUGUAGUGAUUGCUUCUAACUGCCAUUGGCAAAUAAACUGAUCAAAUCGACCUCAAAUCAGAUGGGAUUACCCGCUGAACUUAA
This 304-nucleotide unclassified non-coding RNA is filed under the name uncultured Wallemiales. Its description in RNAcentral is "sequence contains 5.8S rRNA gene, ITS2, 28S rRNA gene". The record is from RNAcentral. Lineage: Eukaryota; Fungi; Basidiomycota; Wallemiomycetes.